This is a long non-coding RNA of Hirundo rustica (Barn swallow), 1268 nucleotides long. RefSeq lists it as uncharacterized. The transcript has 3 exons. The record is from RefSeq and is a predicted model, not a curated record. NCBI's taxonomy places the organism in Eukaryota, Metazoa, Chordata, Aves, Passeriformes, Hirundinidae.
GCCAGGUGAGGGUCGGUCUCUUCUCAAAUGCAGUCAGUGACAGGACAAGAGCAUCAAGCUGCACCGGGGGAGGUUUAGGUUGGAUAAUUUGAGGAAUUUCUUCACAGAAGGGUUGCAGAGUGUUUUUACUUUCAAUAAAGUGGGAUGAGUUUUGCUUCACAAAUUCAGGGGCAAAAUGGGAUAUAACAUAUCCUAUUUUUUUUUGAAUUCUGAAAGAACUUCAGCUCUUUGAAACAACUUACUGAUUACACAGGGGAAAGAACCAAACACAAUGCAUCCAAGUUCCAAAAUUUCGUGAUAUAGGAAAAAAAUCAGGAAACGCUGGAGAGAAACAUUAAAGGGAGCAGAAUCUUCUGACCUGGUCCAAGAAAACUUCAAUAUAAUGGAAAUCAUACUAGUGUUUAUUACCUCAUCCAACUUUUGAUAUUUACAUCCCAAGAAUAUCUUCAGGAAAAACCAUAAAGCUCAUUGAGACAUGAACUAUGAUCUCAAAAUACCUUUCAGGAUGGUUUGUUGUGAAAGAAAACAGGUUCCAGACAGGCCAAACAUGUCCACUGCUGCAGGCUACCCAAAACAAGUUCAGAAGGAAAGUGAAGAAAAUUCAGAUUUUGGUUUUGCAUAGCAUCAUCUGAUCACAGACUGCUUUCUUUCAGUUUGUUAUGGGGACCACAGGGGCUGUUGAAAUUAAUAGAGACUACCUGGAAGAGGAAAAGCUGUGUAGUGAAAAACAGUACUUUUUUUCCAAGAAGUCUGUGUACUCUGGAGAUAGCUGCUGCUCAAGUCUGAGUCAGGCUCUCACUCGCAGUGAUGCACAAGGGAGAAAUGGGAAAAAUGAGAACAGAAGACAAUAUGAAACACCUGCACUGACAACCUCAUCUCUUGUCCCUACAAAUAGAUGCAAACUCCUGUUCCAAGACAUGGAGAUGCUCAGCCAAUACAAACAGUAACAAAUGACCAGCCAUACCCUUAUGACAGAAGAUUGACUCUGAUGUCACUCUUCUUACCAGUGGGGAAUUAAUGACAUGUAUUAGUGUAGUGCUUAGAAGGAAUAAGAGCAUAACAAGUAAGAAAGAGCUCGAAAAGAAGAAACAUUCUGUCACCAGUAACUUAUGCAGCUGUCAGCCAGGCAUCUAGGUCUGACUAAACUUACAGAACAUCUUUGCCCUAAAUAACACAGCAGAUGCAUACAUUGAAUACAUUUGGAAUAUAGAGCUAAAAAGCAUCAACCUUCCAACCAACAAAAAGAAAUAAUUAAAAUAAAGAGUGAA